This is a long non-coding RNA of Pyrus x bretschneideri (Chinese white pear), 3290 nucleotides long. RefSeq lists it as uncharacterized. The record is from RefSeq and is a predicted model, not a curated record. NCBI's taxonomy places the organism in Eukaryota, Viridiplantae, Streptophyta, Magnoliopsida, Rosales, Rosaceae. The transcript has 10 exons.
GUCCACCAUUCUCUUGCCACGUGUCGAUCAUCCUGCAAUGGUUCGCUUCGGAUCUCUGGAAUAUUCUUUCGGUUUCCGUUUCCUUGGCUCGAUUAGACUUCUUGGUUUUAUUUCGGUUUCUGCUCCUCUUUGGCAAAACUUUCUGCUUCUCUGUGGUUCCUGUGUCAGGGCACUGUGCUUUCUUUUCAGUUUUUCUUGAGCUUUUGAAGGCCUCUGUGCUGAGGCUCAAUGAUAACAGUGGGUGAUAGUCACCGGAAGUUACGCAGCUAUGCCGAGGGUUACGUAGUGGAACUUGGAUUUCACAGAUCACAGUGAACAGGGUGAUAGGUGGUUUGGAGACAUUUGAAAUCAUAAGAAGACUCGAAGAUUUCAGCCAGGUUUGAAUCAAAGCACCAAAUGAAUUCUUCUUCCAGGUGAUGAUUAAAUGUUCCCAACUUUUUUAGUUGUAUAAAGACUUGGGUAGAUAGGAAUUUGUUUUUACUCAUGUGUUUCACUAGUUCUUUGGUAAUAGAUAAAUCUUUGUGAACAGUCUUCUGCUUCUAUCAGUACCCAAGGUAAGUUCUUAUUAAUUUACUUUUCACAGUCAGGUCAUUUGCGACCAAAUAUUAUUUUUCAACUUAUGCUUGGUUUACUCUUCUUUUGCAGCCUAUUUUUUCACACAUUUAGUCUUCAGUAGAUGGGGCUAAGGAAUUUCCAUGUGGCAUUGUAUCAAAUUAUCAUUGAUCGAAGGGUAUGGCAUUGUAAGAUCAUCUUCUGUUCACUUUGAUCAAAUUAUUUGUCAAGCGUUUUAGUUUUUUAUAAUUAUGAUAUUAUUUCUUAUUUGGCCUCAAGAUUAGUGGACUUAAACUUUGUUUAUUAUCUUUGCAGUAAGAAGAAGACCUUAAUAAUGUAAUAAGAGAUAACAAUAUUAACUUGACAGUAAAUGGUCCAUUCCUUUUAUUUCUUUUUUUGGUUGCAAUGUCGAUACUUAGUGUAAUUUGUACCUUAUGUUUUACCUUUGUUUUUAAAAUAAAAUUCAUUAAUUUGGUUGUGUUUUGUUCCAUAAUAAAUGUGUAAAGAUGACCAUGUUGUACAUUACAUAGUUUGGGAAUUAGACCAAGUAUUUUGAUCAAUCAGAGUAAAUAUAUUUUAGCUUUUUUUACGUCUUAAACUGUCAAGAUAUAAACUUAUAGGUCGUUACAUAAAAUUCACAAAUUAUAACAUCAAUUGCAAGUUAGCAUAUGAUCCCGUGAUGCAUAGAGGAACUAAGAAUUAAUGGACAAUUUUAUGUAUUGGUGCUUAAAUUUCCAAGAAGACGACGAGCUCCAUUUUCUUUUAAAUGUUAAUUUUUUAAUUUGGGUUUGUGUUUGCUCAGUUUUUGUGGUGAGAAGGAAUAAAUUGGUGAAACGUAGAGUGGUCUUUUUGCUGAAAGGUAUGACCUUUGAAUUGGAGCUAUAGUGUUCGUUCCUAUUGCUAGAUUGGCAGGUAGAAACUCAACCUUUUGUUUAUGUAAAUGUUGGUUUCGUGCUGCAAAUAUGAUAGGCACAUUGGUGUGUAAAAUUGAAAACCCAGUAACAUAUGGUAUAGGAAAUUCUAUGAUGCAUGGACACGGGAGAAGACCAGCGUAUCCCAUAUCUGACACGCGGGGAUACGGAUAUGCAGGGUGAUACGUGUGGAUAUGCGACCGAUACGUAUCCGAGUCAACAGAUACAUUGUUGACUGGUGGGAUACGUGUACCUUACUAUUGAGAUACGACUAUCGUACUUUUUGGAUACGUUUUAAACUAUAAUCAGAGGAUAAUCACACAAAAAAAUCAAGAUAAUUACACUUAAUCCGCACAGAAUCAUGAUAAUUGACAGUUGAUUGAGAUUAGCUGAACUGAAACGAUUCUGUGACCGAAAAUCGAAACAAUUUUGUAUAUAAAAUUCAAAUCUACCUGUUUUUCCUCACUUGAACAUCAGAACCAUCUUCGGCAACUGCUCCUGUCGUCUCCGUUUGCUACUGCUGCAUCGUAUCUCAUGCAUCCACUGGUGAGAGCUGGUAACUGGGUUUCGGAUUCCAAGCUUUCUUGAAGCUUUUUUUUUUUGUGUUAUACACGUGUUGCUCAUCGUGGAGGGGAAGAAACAUGGAAAAGCGGGCUCUUCCAUUUGCUUCCACAGAUUUCUCAAGCUCUCUCUCAAGCUCUUAAUCGCUGGCCUCCCUAAGAAGGAAAUCGCCAAUUCGAAAGCUUGGGUUUACUGAGAUCUUUGCCAUCGCUGCUCCACCAAACUUGCAUCCGCUCUUUCGAACAGUUAGUGGCGAUUUGAAACCGUUAACCGGGAUGAGAAUUCGAGUGAUUUGAAAACAGAGAGCAAGGAAUUGCAGGUGGUGUUCUGAUUUUUCAUUCCUUCUCAUCACUUCUACAAGAGGUUAGUUUUCUUUUCUGCAUUUAAAGAGUGUUUAAGGAAAAAUUGUAUGUAAUUGAUUUUCUGCUAUAAUGUUUUGAAAUUCCUUAUUUUACUUGAAUGUAAUAGUGCUUGCUUUUGCUUUCACCCAGCUACCAAAUUCGGUUUUGUUUGUAUGGUAACAUGGAUUGCUCAGGUUAGGUAGGAGAUGAUGGAGGUGAGAAAUACAAUUGGGAAAGAUAUGCUGAGAGGUUUACAAAACACCUUUGAAGCUGUCGAUGAGGAUUCUUCUGUUUAAGAGUAGGAAUUUUUUAAUUUUUUGUGGAAUCGAUGUUUUGUUUUCGAUUGACUUUAUAAAGGAUUGCUUGGACAAGUACAGGGUGUUUGGGAUUGAAAGGUGGGGAGAGGCCACAUAUGGGUUCAGAGAGAAUAUUCUUUUUUGAAUCUCUAUACGUGCAAUUCCCUCUACAUCAGAGGAUAUUUUCAUAUUAUUUUGCACAUAAUUUUAUUGAAGGGUUUGUGUAUAAAGGUUUCAUUAAUGGGGAUUUCUAUGCAAUGACUGUUUGGGAUUGAAAGGUUGUUCCAGCGUUUAUUAUAAACUUAUUGCAAUGACUGUUUGCAAAUUUACCAAAUUUGUGUUUAAUUUGAGUAGCUUGAAUGGAAGACGCAAUUCCAACACCUAUCAAUCAGGUACAACCGUAUAAAAAGGCAAUAAAGAUUAAAGUCCAUGUGUGUAGAAUGUGGAGACCGAGAACUUUAGGAAAGACUAAUAAAAAUACAAGUCUGCACUGUAUACUGCUAGACAAAAGAAAUAUUCACAGUUGUCUUCAUCCGAAGCGAGUCAAUUAACUGUAUACCAUCACCUUCAAUCAUUGAAAACUUCAACAUGUGCUUCAAAUCUAGAUCAAAGCUAGAUUAACCUCUCAU